GAUGAACGCUGGCGGCGUGCUUAACACAUGCAAGUCGAACGGAAAGGCUCCUGCUUGCAGGGGUACUCGAGUGGCGAACGGGUGAGUAACACGUGGGUGAUCUGCCCUGCACUACGGGAUAAGCCCGGGAAACUGGGUCUAAUACCGGAUAGGUCGAUGGUUUGAAUGCCAUCGUGGAUAGUUUUUCGGAGGGGGAUGAGCUCGCGGCCUAUCAGCUUGUUGGUGGGGUAAUGGCCUACCAAGGCGUCGACGGGUAGCCGGCCUGGGAGGGUGUACGGACACAUUGGGACUGAGAUACGGCCCAGACUCCUACGGGAGGCAGCAGUGGGGAAUAUUGCACAAUGGGCGCAAGCCUGAUGCAGCGACGCCGCGUGGGGGAUGACGGCCUUCGGGUUGUAAACUCCUUUCGCUAGGGACGAAGCGCAAGUGACGGUACCUGGAGAAGAAGCACCGGCUAACUACGUG
Molecule: ribosomal RNA, 465 nt
Filed under: uncultured bacterium
Lineage: Bacteria
Description: partial 16S ribosomal RNA
Rfam family: Bacterial small subunit ribosomal RNA
Source: RNAcentral